GACGAACGCUGGCGGCGUGCCUAACACAUGCAAGUCGAACGGAAAGGGCCUAAUCUUGUGGGGUGCUAGAGUGGCGAACGGGUGUCUAACACGUGAGUAACCUGCGCUUGACCUUGGGGUAACCUCAGGAAACUCGGGAUAAUACCGGAUAGGAGCUCCUGCUGCUCGGUGGGGGUUGGAAAGUUGCGGCGGGCGGGGAUGGACUCGCGGCUUAUCAGCUUGUUGGUGGGGGAGUGGGUUACCAAGGCUUUGAUGGGUAGCCGGCCUGAGCGGGUGGCCGGCCACAUGGGGACUGAGGGACGGCACAGAGUGCUACGGUGGACAGCAGUGGCGAACCUUGCACAAUGAGGGGAAGCCUGAGGCAGCAACGCCCCGUUCGUGAUGAGGGUCUGCGGGUGUGGAACCGCUUUCGGCUAUGACGAAGGGUGAAUGACGGUAACCGAUGAAGAAGCACCGGCUAACUACGUG
This 468-nucleotide ribosomal RNA is filed under the name uncultured bacterium. RNAcentral describes it as "partial 16S ribosomal RNA". It matches the Rfam family "Bacterial small subunit ribosomal RNA", at positions 28 to 507 of the family's 1533-position model. The record is from RNAcentral.